Molecule: ribosomal RNA, 206 nt
Filed under: uncultured bacterium
Lineage: Bacteria
Description: partial 16S ribosomal RNA
Rfam family: Bacterial small subunit ribosomal RNA
Source: RNAcentral
AGCGCAGGCGGGAAACUAAGCGGAUCUUAAAAGUGCGGGGCUCAACCCCGUGAUGGGGUCCGAACUGGUUUUCUUGAGUGCAGGAGAGGAAAGCGGAAUUCCCAGUGUAGCGGUGAAAUGCGUAGAUAUUGGGAAGAACACCAGUGGCGAAGGCGGCCUACUGGGCACCAACUGACGCUGAGGCUCGAAAGUGUGGGUAGCAAACA